This 411-nucleotide long non-coding RNA is filed under the name Homo sapiens (human). Its description in RNAcentral is "novel transcript". Lineage: Eukaryota; Metazoa; Chordata; Mammalia; Primates; Hominidae. The record is from RNAcentral.
ACUCCGGGCCUCCCGCCGGGAUCCGACGCGCCCGGUGGGGUAAGCGGAGUGACGUGACUUGAUGGACACACGCCAUUCACAGCCCCCGUCACGAUGCCUCCCUUCCAGCGCUUCGUGUGCAGCGCGUGCUGCACCCUCAUUUCGUCUCCUCCACGGCCUCACUGGCAGUAGCCUGAGCCGCAGUAACUGACCUGGGGGCUCCCACCAGGUUGGCCUGGCUCCAGAGCUGUCAGAGAUUUUGGGAUUGCCUUUCCCCCAUGCUAUCCUGUCCUCAUCCAUCACCACCUGAAUCUCCCUUGCCGUCUCUUGUCAUAGGAUCCCCAGAUGGACCCAGAUCCAGUUCGUGGCUAUUGGUUCUGGAAGGGGGCCAUCCUCACCUGGAUCCUCCAGUACCAAACAUAACAGAGUCUA